This 50-nucleotide microRNA precursor is filed under the name Marmota monax (woodchuck). The record is from RNAcentral. Lineage: Eukaryota; Metazoa; Chordata; Mammalia; Rodentia; Sciuridae.
AUUUUAGUGUAAGUAUGUCCCAUGCAAUAUUUUGAAUAGUUAUAUUAAAA